GCAAAAAGGAGGGAGAGGGAGGCAGGAUGCUCUCUGGCACUCUCAUAUAUUAGGUCUCUGCAAAGACAGAAGGCUGUAGAGGCAGCCUCAGCCAGCCUUUGGGCAGUGAUUCUAACUAGUGCCCCCGAACACGGUGGUCAGGACGACUUUGAAGAGGCAAUUCAUUACUUAUGCAUAGAACGCUCUAGCUCUGCUAAACCAAGAGCGCAAACGCCCCCUUGUUCUCUACUGUAGAGACUUGCAUCUUUUUGGUACUCAACAUUCUCAAGAUACUCUGCUACUACAGGUCUUCUAAGAGAUGUUUCAUUUCCAACUGAAAACAUGUGGUGAGUCCAGAUGUUCAAACACAAUCACUCCCCAUUGGCUUACAGUUACAGGUUGAUUCAAGAAUGGCUAUGUAUAAAUAUACACAUCAGAAUCCUAAUUUAAAAUUAGAAUGCAGGCUGUGAAAUGAAUAAAAAUGGUAUGAGAACACAGUUGGCUAUGUAAACUUCUUGCUCAAAUGUAAGUGCCUCUUUACCCCAUUAAUGUAAUACAUCUAGUACAGUCAAUAAAUUAUUAUAAAAGUUUUAUUACAUAUGAAAAAGGAUAGAUGGUACAUAUGAAAAUAUUAUCUGAAUGAAAAAU
Long non-coding RNA from Heterocephalus glaber (naked mole-rat), 627 nucleotides. The record is from Ensembl. NCBI's taxonomy places the organism in Eukaryota, Metazoa, Chordata, Mammalia, Rodentia, Bathyergidae.